UGUACAAAGUUUCGGCUCACUCAAGGGAAGCUGGCUCAUCCCCUAUGAAAGGGGGUGAUGCUUAUGACGACAUUCGAAACAAUCUCGUUAAUGAUUGCUUUUGGCAUGUUAAUUGCCGUGUUGUCGAAGAAAGAAAAAUAGACUUCCCUUGAGCCCUGGUAAAGUUCAUAGGGAAAGUCUAUUUUAAAAUGACUGAGCCAAGCCCUUGUUGGGCCGCUUUGUACACUCGACUCGACUGUUGGCGCAGUCGGG
Molecule: small RNA, 252 nt
Organism: Bacillus licheniformis
Lineage: Bacteria; Bacillati; Bacillota; Bacilli; Caryophanales; Bacillaceae
Rfam family: BsrG
About the family: bsrE, bsrG and bsrH pair through intermolecular interactions with antisense sRNAs.
Source: Rfam